ACAAGUCGAGUGUUGGCUUGGGGACUGCCAUGUAAGUGAGGGACCCUAGGUGUUGGUGGAGGAGAGAACGGAAGGAUUAUUGCCUCCCCUCGGCCCCCACCCGCCCGUGCCAAGUUCAGUCAGAAGUGAACAAAAUUUCCUUUUUGGGAUUGAACUCAUCUUGGGCUCUCCAACCGCACAGGACUUGCGGGUAGGGAAAUGAGGCGCAGAGUCCUCUGUGACCAUCGCGUGCAAACUGGCCCCAAACAGAACCGGCCACUAAGAAACAAACCAGGUAUGCGUUGGGGCCCGGGAAGGCACCCUCGCAGAGGACGUUCCCGCAGGUAGUGUGGGACUCCUGCCCCAGGAAGAAGUCGCUGCUGCUUGCAGGGUGGUCUUAGAGAGGCUCGGACCUCUAUUGAGACUCCUCACUUCCUUUUCUCCGGGACCUCGGGUCUUCAGCUUCUUCCGUCCUAGGCUCCCCCACCUCCUGAGUUCUUCCUGGGAGAGUUGUUUGAACCACUGCCUUACCCCCAGGAGGGCUGCCCGAAGUUGGGGAUUUGGCCCACCAAUCCUAGCAAGUUGAGACCCGGCUGGUGAGGCGCGGCGAAGCGGCCCUCCCUCCCGCUACCCCGGGUGGGGUAGGGACUCCCUUUCCCCUUGAGACCCUCUAGCACCCGAGUGUUGAUGAUCAUUACUUUAAAUUAAAAGUCUCUUUUCUCCUUUCCGUCUAAGCCUCAACUUAGUUUCAGAGAAUGAAGCGUGAAAGCUCUUUUAUGGAGAUUACCGAUGCUUCAUUUAUUCCCGCAAAUGGCAAACACAGCCCGGGAAAAACCGAGCGAGCGAGCUCCUUGUCUCGGAUUCUCAGGCACUAAGUUGGGAAAGGCAGAGAGAGGGCUUGCUGUUUGCCUGAACAGUUGCCAAGUUUCAUUAAUUACUCAGUCAUUUUAAUGCGAAAGCAAAUACCAAAAUGCUCUCGUGCCCAUUCUGAAUUAAUGGCCUGCAAAAUUAGAUAAGGAGGGGGCCGAAGGGCGAGUUGAGGUGUUCAGAGGAGUAUUCAACCCUUCUUUCAAACCUAGAAGGUCCCCCCCGCCCCAACCACCAAAUGCCCGAGGUGGUGGUCAGUGAGUUGAAAACCUAAAGCAAAAGCUAUUCCUUAGUGAACAAAGGUUGGAUUCUAAUAAUGACAAACAUCAG
RNAcentral lists this long non-coding RNA (1176 nucleotides) under Callithrix jacchus (white-tufted-ear marmoset). Its description in RNAcentral is "lncRNA (ENSCJAG00000076530.1)". Lineage: Eukaryota; Metazoa; Chordata; Mammalia; Primates; Cebidae. The record is from RNAcentral.